This is a long non-coding RNA of Alosa sapidissima (American shad), 726 nucleotides long. RefSeq lists it as uncharacterized. The record is from RefSeq and is a predicted model, not a curated record. Lineage: Eukaryota; Metazoa; Chordata; Actinopteri; Clupeiformes; Clupeidae. The transcript is spliced from 3 exons.
GCUGACCAGGUCACGUCACGGUAUGAAUAAUGAAAGUGCCGGGCUGUAGUCUUUGCAUGCAACUCGAUGACCCGCUCAAGGUGUACAAGGCAGCCACGUGUAAUGGUUCAUAAAAAAAAAAAUCCAUCAAGGAUUUAACAUGAUCUGCAACACCCCCCCCCCCCCCCCACCGCCUCAUACCACCCCUCUUCCUCCGAACCAUUCAGUGUUAGUCGUGAAACAGAAACCCCUGCAAACUCCUCAGAGAAGAACACCAGAAUGGUGCUUGGGCUUAUUGGAGGGACAUCAUACAGGCAUUUGAAAAGCCUUUUCAGCCAGGGCCUGGUGCAUGGAGAGGAACGUGGUGGUAUCUGUCAGGAGGCUGAUGUGUUGAUGUGUUAUGCAUUUUGAGCUGUAUGGGUUAUGGCCCUCUGAUGUGCUGGCUUCAUGUCUUUGUGGCACUGGAGCUGUGAAGGAUGAAAUGAGAUGGAGGAGAGGGUGGGGGGGGGCACAAACACACAGAUACUUACACAUGCGCACACACACACACAGAGAGACACACACACAGUCUUAAAUGUAGCCAGACACUCCCAGAGGCAUGACUGAAUGAAUGGAUAUACACAGGUCAGGCCAAACACAGGAGGCUAGGGCUGGAGUGAGAGGUGAGCACCAAAAGUGGCCACUUCUUGCGACUUCAAACAGGAAGUUCUUUUUCCUCUUUUUCUUCUUUUAACACUUCUCCGGGAA